RNAcentral lists this ribosomal RNA (208 nucleotides) under Citrobacter werkmanii. Its description in RNAcentral is "16S ribosomal RNA". It matches the Rfam family "Bacterial small subunit ribosomal RNA", at positions 331 to 533 of the family's 1533-position model. The record is from RNAcentral. Lineage: Bacteria; Pseudomonadati; Pseudomonadota; Gammaproteobacteria; Enterobacterales; Enterobacteriaceae.
AACUACUCCUACGGGAGGCAGCAGUGGGGAAUAUUGCACAAUGGGCGCAAGCCUGAUGCAGCCAUGCCGCGUGUAUGAAGAAGGCCUUCGGGUUGUAAAGUACUUUCAGCGAGGAGGAAGGUGUUGUGGUUAAUAACCACAGCAAUUGACGUUACUCGCAGAAGAAGCACCGGCUAACUCCGUGCCAGCAGCCGCGGUAAUUGAAUUU